Molecule: ribosomal RNA, 545 nt
Filed under: uncultured bacterium
Lineage: Bacteria
Description: bacterial SSU rRNA
Rfam family: Bacterial small subunit ribosomal RNA
Source: RNAcentral
AGUGAAUAGAUACCCAGGUAGUCCAUGCCGUAAACGAUGAGUGCUAAGUGUUAGGGGGUUUCCGCCCCUUAGUACUGCAGCUAAACGCAUUAAGCACUCCGCCUGGGGAGUACGACCGCAAGGUUGAAACUCAAAGGAAUUGACGGGGGCCCGCACAAGCGGUGGAGCGUGUGGUUUAAACUCGAAGCAACGCGAAGAACCUUACUAGGUCUUGACAUCCUAGUGACCGCUCUAGGGAUAGAGUUUUCCCUUCGGGGACAUCGGUGACAGGUGGUGCAUGGUUGUCGUCAGCUCGUGUCGUGAGAUGUUGGGUUAAGUCCCGCAACGAGCGCAACCCUUGAUCUUAGUUGCCAUCAUUUAGUUGGGCACUCUAAGGUGACUGCCGGUGACAAACCGGAGGAAGGUGGGGAUGACGUCAAAUCAUCAUGCCCCGUUAUGACCUGGGCUACACACGUGCUACAAUGGACGGUACAAAGAGUCGCUAACUCGCGAGAGUACGCUAAUCUCAUAAAACCGGUUCCCAGUUCGGAUUGUAGGCUGCAACU